UUAAUUUCAUUAAAAACCCUUUAAACCAACAUAAAAAAUUAAAAAAUAAUUAAAAAAUCAACUACUACAUGCCAAGUCAGCCUUGGACCCACCCAACCCCGUCCAAAAUAUACGAAAACGACUUGGUCCAUAAUUACCAACUUUCUUUUUUAUCUUUUCCUUAUUUUUUGUCUCUGCCGGUAUCGCCUUCUCCUCUACUUAACUUUUUUUUUUCGCCGCCGUAAGUUUUACGGUUUAUAAAGUCUUUUAAUGGUUGAUAUUUUUAAGAUGGUAAAAAGAUAAAAGAAG
Molecule: long non-coding RNA, 288 nt
Filed under: Durio zibethinus
Lineage: Eukaryota; Viridiplantae; Streptophyta; Magnoliopsida; Malvales; Malvaceae
Description: long non-coding RNA (DZIB_LNC000776)
Source: RNAcentral